GACGAACGCUGGCGGCGUGCCUAAUACAUGCAAGUCGAGCGGAAGUUGAAGAGCUUGCUCUUCAACUUUAGCGGCGGACGGGUGAGUAACACGUGGGCAACCUGCCCUGCAGAUCGGGAUAACUCCGGGAAACCGGUGCUAAUACCGAAUCGUUUUCGCCACCUCCUGGUGGCGUACGGAAAGACGGUUUCGGCUGUCACUGCAGGAUGGGCCCGCGGCGCAUUAGCUAGUUGGUGGGGUAACGGCCCACCAAGGCGACGAUGCGUAGCCGACCUGAGAGGGUGAUCGGCCACACUGGGACUGAGACACGGCCCAGACUCCUACGGGAGGCAGCAGUAGGGAAUCUUCCGCAAUGGACGAAAGUCUGACGGAGCAACGCCACGUGAGUGACGAAGGUUUUCGGAUCGUAAAACUCUGUUGUGAGGGAAGAACAAGUACCAACUAACUACUGGUACCUUGACGGUACCUCACCAGAAAGCCACGGCUAACUACGUGCCAGCCGCCGCGGUAA
This 511-nucleotide ribosomal RNA is filed under the name uncultured bacterium. RNAcentral describes it as "partial 16S ribosomal RNA". It matches the Rfam family "Bacterial small subunit ribosomal RNA", at positions 28 to 523 of the family's 1533-position model. The record is from RNAcentral.